GGACCCUGAGGUACUUUGGAGGUGAUCAUGGGGAAGUUACUUAAGCGCUUCUUGGUUCCUUGGCCAUGGUUGAAUUUGAAAGCAGCAGAACUUGCGUGGGAAGCCCUCUUUCCCUUUGCUCUUUCUCCAACCCGUGACCCUCCUCCAUUGUCUGACCACUGCACCCAGCCUCUGCUUUGACAGCUGUCUUGCGGGUCCCCGGGAGUGGUCUGGCACCCUCUUGUAUGUCCUUGCAGAAUGACUUGCAUGCUGAUGAUGUGUGCCUGGCUCAGCACAGACAUCUCCCUUCAAUACCUCCGUACCAAGUCCUUGCCUUACCACGCUUUCUGCCUGAAGUUGUUCCCCGCCCCCCCCCCACCCCCCAAAAGGGAAGAAAGACUCGUGAGCAUGUUCCAGAAGGCAUCGAUUGGCCUGCCCUGCCUAGCACAAGGCACUUGCUCAGUCAAUGAUUGGUGAAUAAGUUAACCCUGGCUUGCAUGUGCUCUAGAUGACUCCCGGGGUCUGAUUCCAGCCUGAGUCACCAGAGGAUUCGUGGGGACUAGAGCAAAGGAGAGCCUUGCAUGUUGCCAGAAGGGAGGUAGUUUGAUAUACGUGAGGUGCCGCUGUGCCUGUGUGUUUCGGAGGGACCGGGAGUGGGUGGUGAUGGACCUGUGGCACGGUAUUGCAGGCUGGAGCCAGGACUUGACACGUUGGCAUUACCUGGCUUCUGCACAUCCGCCCUUUAUGAUCCCCAGUACUUGGAAACUUUUCUGGACACACUGAGAAGACUCUCCAAGAGCCAGGCUACCUGUCAAGUUUCCAGGGCCUCCGACCCCUGCUGCCUCUUCUUUUCCUCCCCAGAGUGUGCGGAUAAAGCACCAGAAUCUCUCUGGGGAAGCCUGACCUCACUUGAAAAAGGACCUGUUUGAGAGAGGUGUAUGUGUUGGUGGGGCCGGGAGGUGCCUAGACUUGUAGGGACCUGUAUCGAUGAGAGAAAUGACAAAAAUAAUCUUCUACUCAGUCAAUCCAGCUAAAGAUGCUGCAGUCCCAGGGAAACGUUUAGGAAGGAUCUGCUUUUGUGUUUCUCAUUUGUGAAAAGCAACAACAACAAACAAACAAAGGAAAAGACUCCCAGGCUUCCUGCGGGGAGGGAGCUAUGGGUCCUCCCGGGAGAAAGGGCUGCAGACUGACUGACUGAAGGAGUCCUCAUUGUGGGGGAAGCGAGCUUGCUUCUUUUUCUUUCUUUUCCAUUCCCUGUGCAGACUCACAGCCCUGUGCACUUAAUUCUCCAUGCCUGUGCAUCAGCAUUGCAGUAGACUUUUCCAUAUGCUCCUUCCACUCUGAACAACAGCAUGGAUUGUUAUUUCCAACCUGCUGAGGAAAGAACCGAGGCUCAGAGAAGUGAACUGAGUUGCCCAGAACGUAUUGCCGAUAAGUGGAUGAACCCGAUUAUUUAUUUAUUUAAUGAACAUACUAAGUUAUGCAUUGAGCUACGGAGAGAACAAAGAUGAAUAAAAUGUGUUGGUUCCGGCCAAGAAGAAAUUCAGCGUAGGAGCGGAAGAUAGCAAUUAUACAACAAUAUGAGUGUGGGAGGCGUUUCCUGGCACUUCGCCACCGUGACUUCUCAGCAGGGCUUCGGGGGGAACCAGGAGGUGGCCGUGCCAAAGGCUUUUGACUGAGGGAAAGUCAACCCACCGCCCAGGGUGCCAUGACUGCCCCACGGCAUCUCGGAAGAAGUAGGCCAAAGAUCAUCAGGAAACAGUGGCUUCUGGGUUCACUGCCACAAAGCAAGCUAUGAGGGUUUAUGUUCAGUAGACCACAACCACCUGGACAAAUGAUAACUACAGGUGGGAGCCUGUGCUAGUUGACCUCCCGAAGUCCCUUCCAAAAUGGUAGGUCCAUGAAGAGGACAGAGUGCACCGUUCAGAAAGGCUGGAACUUCCCAACACCCACGGAGAGAGGGACAUUGAUGACAGCUUCUUUCAAGAGCCAGUUUCUUACAUUUGUAGGAGCAAAA
Acinonyx jubatus (cheetah) is the source of this 1996-nucleotide long non-coding RNA. RefSeq lists it as uncharacterized. The record is from RefSeq and is a predicted model, not a curated record. The transcript is spliced from 3 exons. NCBI's taxonomy places the organism in Eukaryota, Metazoa, Chordata, Mammalia, Carnivora, Felidae.